RNAcentral lists this ribosomal RNA (254 nucleotides) under uncultured bacterium. RNAcentral describes it as "partial 16S ribosomal RNA". It matches the Rfam family "Bacterial small subunit ribosomal RNA", at positions 524 to 776 of the family's 1533-position model. The record is from RNAcentral.
UACAUGGGGUGCAAACGUUGCUCGGAAUUAUUGGGCGUAAAGCGCACGUAGGCGGUUCGUUAAGUCGGAUGUGAAAGCCCUCGGCUCAACUGAGGAAGUGCACCCGAAACUGGCGAGCUUGAGUACGAAAAGAGGAUCGCGGAAUUCCCGGUGUAGAGGUGAAAUUCGUAGAUAUCGGGAGGAACACCGGUGGCGAAGGCGGCGAUCUGGGUAGAUACUGACGCUGAGGUGCGAAAGCGUGGGGAGCAAACAGG